RNAcentral lists this ribosomal RNA (493 nucleotides) under uncultured bacterium. Its description in RNAcentral is "partial 16S ribosomal RNA". It matches the Rfam family "Bacterial small subunit ribosomal RNA", at positions 29 to 507 of the family's 1533-position model. The record is from RNAcentral.
ACGAACGCUGGCGGCGUGCUUAACACCUGCAAGUCGAACGGAAAGGCCUGCUUUCCCUUGUGGAUUGCGGGUACUCGAGUGGCGAACGGGUGAGUAACACGUGAGUGAUCUGCCCCCAACUUGGGUAUAAGCCUGGGAAACUGGGUCUAAUUCCCGAUAGGACUGCAGGGUGGUGCCUGUGGUGGAAAACGAUUUUCUAGUGGUUGGGGAUGAGCUCGCGGCCUAUCAGCUUGUUGGUGGGGUAAUGGCCUACCAAGGCGGCGACGGGUAGCCGGCCUGAGAGGGUGGACGGCCACAUUGGGACUGAGAUACGGCCCAGACGCCUACGGGAGGCAGCAGUGGGGAAUAUUGCACAAUGGGCGGAAGCCUGAUGCAGCGACGCCGCGUGGGGGAUGACGGCCUCCGGGUUGUAAACUCCUUUCGACCGCGAGGAAGCCACCUGGUUGGAAGGGUGGUGACGGUAGUGGUAGAAGAAGCACCGGCUAACUACGUG